CACAAUUGCUUUAAUCUCGUGAUAAAACAUUUAAUGGCUAGAAUCUCUACUUUUGUUUCACUAAAGACAGGGGUUCCUCAAGAUGGAAAACUACUGGUAAAGAAUUAGAAACUUGGUUUAAGUGUCAAUAAAUGAUUGAGACUCUUACAAGUUUAGUUGAUAAAACAGCUUCUGGGUUUGUGAGAUUACUUCCCAGGCUUCAAGGUGUCCUCUGAAUAUGAUGCUAUCAAAGAGCAUUGCAUUGAGAAAUACUUGAUGUAAAGUACCAUCUAUAUGGUAAAUUUCCACUUUGAAAAACUAUAGUCACCCAACUUUCAGUAACUACCACCCUGGACAGUUAGCAGCUAUCAACUCUAAGGUAAGGCCCUCCUCAGGAAAACAAACUAAAAACAAAAUCCCCAAAUAUAUGACAUGCUAAAGGUUAAGAUGAAUAGAAACAUUUUUACCAGUAACAUUUUAAACCAAAGUAUAUACAUUAUUUUCAAAUAUACUAUUUGUCUUAGGGUUUCCAUCACUGUGAUAAAACAUUACAACCAAGAGCUUUAGGGAGGAAAGGGUUUAUUUGGCUUACAGGUUACAGUCUUUCAUCAGGGAAGCCAACAUGGGAACUCAGAGCAGGAACUUGGAGGCAGGAACUGAAGCAGAUACCUUGGAGGAGUGCUGCUUACUGAUUUGCUUCCCCUAGCUUUCUCAUCUUGCUUUCUUACACUCUCCAGGACUACCUACCCACAGGUGCUAUUACCCAUAGUGGGCUGGACCCUCCCACAUAAUCAUUAAUCAAGAAAAUGCCCCACAGAUUUGCCCACAGGCAAAGUGAUAAAGGUAUUCUUUUAAAUUGAGGUUUCUCUUCCCAUGUAAGUCUAGCUUAUGUCAGGUUGAGAAAAACGAAACACUAAUAAAUAAAUAUAUCAGGAGACUGUUAACACACUUACUAUAAUUUUUUUUCAGAUGUACCCAGAAACAAAAAAAUUCAUAGUCCCACCUCCCAUCUAUGUUAUGCAAGUGAUCCUAAUUAAACUCAGUGCGGGGAAGGGAGGGAGGGAAGGGGGGAGAGAGAGAGAGAGAGAGAGAGAGAGAGAGAGAGAGAGAGGGAGAGAGGGAGGAAGGGG
This 1109-nucleotide long non-coding RNA is filed under the name Cricetulus griseus (Chinese hamster). RNAcentral's name for it is "lncRNA (ENSCGRG00015042709.1)". Lineage: Eukaryota; Metazoa; Chordata; Mammalia; Rodentia; Cricetidae. The record is from RNAcentral.